CAUUUGCGGAUGAAACGGGUGGAUCGGAUGCUUAACGGGUGAUAAUUAUAAUCCUACUCUAACUAUAAAAUCUAAUACGUUAGAAUAAAAAAUAAAUUAAAAAAACAAAAAAAAACAAAAAACAAAACAAAAACUUUUAGCCAAUUGUAAACUUAAAAAGUAAACCAUUAAUUAAAUUUUUGUUCCAAACUAUAGCAAUAAUAAUAAUCAUGAACUUACUUUUUUUUUUUAACGGAAUCAUGAACUUAUUUCGGCACUACAUAAUUAGGAAUUGAGGGAGGUUUUAUAUUUUUUAAAAUAAAAUUAAAGAAUUUUUAGAUUUUUUUUUUUAGAAAUAUACCGUACAUAUAGUGUAGUAUACUAGUAUAUAAGAAAAUUGGGAGUUUAUAUAUAUAUAUAUAUAGGGAGUGGAUCAUGUGAAAACAAGUCUUUGGCUGAAAACUGAAAACAGGAAUUCUAGACCAUUGAUUUUAAUCUAACGGAUUAAAUUACAUCUGCGUUUGGGUUUUGUUUUCUAAUUUAUGACCAUCCAUUAUCUCUCUCCUCUAUUUUUCUCUCUCCUCCAUCUCACGUUCUCCAUAUCCUCCAUUCUUUCUCCUUCCCAAUUCAAAAUUAAUGUUGAACAUCAUCAAAUUAUAGAGGAAUUUGGUUCAAUCUUCAUCAAUUUCUUAAUUAGCUUAUAAAAAAGGACUGUAUCUUUCAUAUUGAUGGUCAGUACUUGGAGGUAGCAUUGACUACUAAGAAAAUGUAUAGAUGCGGUCUGUCUUUGCAGGACAAUGUAUUUGUCUAUGUGGUUGCAUCUACUCGUAUAAAGUACCAGUCGGCAUGCCUUAUCGAAUAGGCGAAUGUAUGUUUUGGUUUUAAUCAAGCCUCUACGUUUUUGGCAUGUUGAAAGCCUAUUAGCUCAAUUGGUCGAGCACCGUGUAAUCACGGGAUGUAGGUUCGAAUCCUACAUAUACUUUUUCUUAAUACCCUUUAUUUUUAUAAUUCGUGACUUUUGUUCUCUUUCAUGUAUUACCUAAUUGAAUUAAUAGGCCGAGUCAAAUUGAAAAA
Chenopodium quinoa (quinoa) is the source of this 1053-nucleotide long non-coding RNA. RefSeq lists it as uncharacterized. The record is from RefSeq and is a predicted model, not a curated record. NCBI's taxonomy places the organism in Eukaryota, Viridiplantae, Streptophyta, Magnoliopsida, Caryophyllales, Amaranthaceae. The transcript has 2 exons.